This 538-nucleotide ribosomal RNA is filed under the name uncultured bacterium. Its description in RNAcentral is "bacterial SSU rRNA". It matches the Rfam family "Bacterial small subunit ribosomal RNA", at positions 775 to 1308 of the family's 1533-position model. The record is from RNAcentral.
AGAUAAUAGAUACCCCGGUAGUCCACGCCCUAAACGAUGUCUACUAGUUGUUGGUGGAGUAAAAUCCAUGAGUAACGCAGCUAAACGCGUGAAGUAGACCGCCUGGGGAGUACGGUCGCAAGAUUAAAACUCAAGGAAUUGACGGGGGCCCGCACAAGCGGUGGAUUAUGUGGAUUAAAUUCGAUGCAACGCGAAAAACCUUACCUGGCCUUGACAUGCCACUAACGAAGCAGAGAUGCAUUAGGUGCCCGUAAGGGAAAGUGGACACAGGUGCUGCAUGGCUGUCGUCAGCUCGUGUCGUGAGAUGUUGGGUUAAGUCCCGCAACGAGCGCAACCCUUGCCAUUAAUUGCCAUCAUUUAGUUGGGCACUUUAAUGGGACUGCCGGUGACAAACCGGAGGAAGGUGGGGAUGACGUCAAGUCCUCAUGGCCCUUAUGGCCAGGGCUUCACACGUAAUACAAUGGUCGGUACAGAGAGUUGCCAACCCGCGAGGGGAGCUAAUCUCAGAAAGCCGAUCGUAGUCCGGAUUGUUCUCUGC